This 447-nucleotide long non-coding RNA is filed under the name Salmo salar (Atlantic salmon). Its description in RNAcentral is "lncRNA (ENSSSAG00000110139.1)". Lineage: Eukaryota; Metazoa; Chordata; Actinopteri; Salmoniformes; Salmonidae. The record is from RNAcentral.
AUAUUACAUGGAUUUAUUGUGAAGGUGUAGACUAUAUUACAUGGAUUUAUUGUGAUGGUGUAGGUAGACUAUAUUACAUGGAUUUAUUGUGAUGGUGUAGGUAGACUAUAUUACAUGGAUUUAUUGUGAUGGUGUAGACUAUAUUACAUGGAUUUAUUGUGAUGGUGUAGACUAUAUUACAUGGAUUUAUUGUGAUGGUGUAGGCUAUAUUACAUGGAUUUAUUGUGAUGGUGUAGACUAUAUUACAUGGAUUUAUUGUGAUGGUGUAGACUAUAUUACAUGGAUUUAUUGUGAUGGUGUAGACUAUAUUACAUGGAUUUAUUGUGAUGGUGUAGACUAUAUUACAUGGAUUUAUUGUGAUGGUGUAGACUAUAUUACAUGGAUUUAUUGUGAUGGUGUAGACUAUAUUACAUGGAUUUAUUGUGAUGGUGUAGGUAGACUAUAUUA